RNAcentral lists this ribosomal RNA (495 nucleotides) under uncultured bacterium. RNAcentral's name for it is "partial 16S ribosomal RNA". It matches the Rfam family "Bacterial small subunit ribosomal RNA", at positions 28 to 507 of the family's 1533-position model. The record is from RNAcentral.
GACGAACGCUGGCGGCGUGCCUAAUACAUGCAAGUAGAACGCUGAAGGAGGAGCUUGCUUCUCCGGAUGAGUUGCGAACGGGUGAGUAACGCGUAGGUAACCUGCCUGGUAGCGGGGGAUAACUAUUGGAAACGAUAGCUAAUACCGCAUAAGAGUAGAUGUUGCAUGACAUUUGCUUAAAAGGUGCAAUUGCAUCACUACCAGAUGGACCUGCGUUGUAUUAGCUAGUUGGUGGGGUAACGGCUUACCAAGGCGACGAUACAUAGCCGACCUGAGAGGGUGAUCGGCCACACUGGGACUGAGACACGGCCCAGACUCCUACGGGAGGCAGCAGUAGGGAAUCUUCGGCAAUGGACGGAAGUCUGACCGAGCAACGCCGCGUGAGUGAAGAAGGUUGUCGGAUCGUAAAGCUCGGUUGUAAGAGAAGAACGAGUGUGAGAGUGGAAAGUUCACACUGUGACGGUAUCUUACCAGAAAGGGACGGCUAACUACGUG